UGGUAGUGAUAUGCAGGGGCCCCAGU
This 26-nucleotide non-coding RNA is filed under the name Mus musculus (house mouse). Lineage: Eukaryota; Metazoa; Chordata; Mammalia; Rodentia; Muridae. The record is from RNAcentral.